This 732-nucleotide ribosomal RNA is filed under the name uncultured bacterium. RNAcentral's name for it is "bacterial SSU rRNA". It matches the Rfam family "Bacterial small subunit ribosomal RNA", at positions 775 to 1501 of the family's 1533-position model. The record is from RNAcentral.
GGAUUAGAUACCCUGGUAGUCCACGCCGUAAACGAUGAGUGCUAAGUGUUAGAGGGUUUCCGCCCUUUAGUGCUGAAGUUAACGCAUUAAGCACUCCGCCUGGGGAGUACGGCCGCAAGACUGAAACUCAAAGGAAUUGACGGGGGCCCGCACGAGCGGUGGAGCAUGUGGUUUAAUUCGAAGCAACGCGAAGAACCUUACCAGGUCUUGACAUCCUCUGACAACCCUAGAGAUAGGGCUUNUCCCUUCGGGNGACAGAGUGACAGGUGGUGCAUGGUUGUCGUCAGCUCGUGUCGUGAGAUGUUGGGUUAAGUCCCCGCAACGAGCGCAACCCUUGAUNCUUAGUUGCCAGCANUUUANGUUGGGCACUCUAAGGUGACUGCCGGUGACAAACCGGAGGAAGGUGGGGAUGACGUCAAAUCAUCAUGCCCCUUAUGACCUGGGCUACACACGUGCUACAAUGGCGCAUACAAGGAGAAGCGACCUCGCGAGAGCAAGCGGACCUCAUAAAGUGCGUCGUAGUCCGGAUUGGAGUCUGCAACUCGACUCCAUGAAGUCGGAAUCGCUAGUAAUCGUAGAUCAGAAUGCUACGGUGAAUACGUUCCCGGGCCUUGUACACACCGCCCGUCACACCAUGGGAGUGGGUUGCAAAAGAAGUAGGUAGCUUAACCUUCGGGAGGGCGCUUACCACUUUGUGAUUCAUGACUGGGGUGAAGUCGUAACAAGGUAACC